UAAAGAUUUUAAGGGCGUACGGUGGAUGCCUUGGCUAUACUGGCCGAUGAAGGACGCGGUAAGCUGCGAUAAGCUACGGAGAGGUGCAAGCAACCUUUGACCCGUAGAUUUCCGAAUGGGGGAACCCGGCGGAAGUUAUGUUCCGUCACCCAUACCUUAGAGUAUGAGGAGGGCACCUGGGGAACUGAAACAUCUAAGUACCCAGAGGAAGAGUAAUCAAACGAGAUUCUCCUAGUAGCGGCGAGCGAACGGGGAAGAGCCCAAACCGGAUCGGGAAACCGAACCGGGGUUGAGGACUGUCAUCAAGUGUAAAUGAGAUAGAAGAAUUGUGCUGGAACGCACAGCCGUAGAAGGUGAAAGCCCUGUACUCGAAAUCUUGCAUGCAUGGGACAGUAUCCAGAGUACCACGAGACACGUGAAACCUUGUGGGAAGCAGGGGGGACCACCCUCCAAGGCAAAAUACCAGUAUGGACCGAUAGCGCAUAGUACCGUGAGGGAAAGGUGAAAAGCACCCCGGGAGGGGAGUGAAAGAGAACCUGAAACCGUAUGUCUACAAACAGUCGAAGCGCGUAUAAUUGCAGCGCGACGGCGUGCCUAUUGAAGAAUGAACCGGCGAGUUACUGUUACUAGCGAGGUUAAGUGGAAAACAUGGAGCCGAAGCGAAAGCGAGUCUGAAUAGGGCAAUUAGUUAGUGAUAGUAGACCCGAAACCGUAGUGAUCUAUCCAUGGCCAGGUUGAAGCACAGGUAAAAUUGUGUGGAGGACCGAACUCGUGAGCGUUGAAAAGCUUUGGGAUGAGCUGUGGAUAGGGGUGAAAUGCCAAUCGAACACGGAGAUAGCUGGUUCUCCCCGAAAUAGCUUUAGGGCUAGCCUCAUGGAGAGAGUAUAGGCGGUAGAGCACUGAUCGGGCUAGGGCCCAUACCGGGUACCGAACCUAGUCAAACUACGAAUGGCUAUACUUAUACAUGGGAGUCAGACUAUGAGUGAUAAGGCCCAUAGUCAAGAGGGAAACAGCCCAGACCACCAACUAAGGUCCCUAAUGCUGUACUAAGUGGCGAAGGAUGUGGAAUUUCUAAAACAACCAGGAUGUUGGCUUAGAAGCAGCCACCAUUUAAAGAGUGCGUAAUAGCUCACUGGUCGAGAGACUCUGCGCCGAAAAUGUCCGGGGCUAAAGUACAGAACCGAAGUUGUGGCAAAUGCAGUAAUGCAUUUGGGUAGGGGAGCGUUCUUAUUGGAUUGAAGCAGUACCGGAAGGAGCUGUGGACUGGUAAGAAGUGAGAAUGCCGGUAUGAGUAGCGAAAAGAAAGGUGAGAAUCCUUUCCACCGAAAGCCUAAGGGUUCCUGAGCAACGAUCGUCGACUCAGGGUAAGUCGGGACCUAAGCCGAGGCGGAAAAGCGUAGGCGAUGGACAACAGGUUGAAAUUCCUGUACUAGUAUGAAUUGUUUGAUCGAUGGAGUGACGCAGUAAGAUAGGUCAGCACGAGGAUGGAAAUUCGUGUUUAAGCGUGUAGGUGAAGUGGCAGGCAAAUCCACCAUUUCAAAAGCUGAGGCGUGAUGAGGAGUUACUAGAAAUAGUGACGAACUGAUUGAUUCUACACUGCCGAGAAAAGCUUCUAGGUAGAGACAUACUACCCGUACCGAAACCGACACAGGUGGGCGGGGAGAGAAUCCUAAGGUGCGCGGGAAAACCCUCGUUAAGGAACUCGGCAAAAUGCCUCCGUAACUUCGGGAAAAGGAGGACUCAUGUAGUGUGAAGAGCAGUAACGCUUGGAGCAUGAAUGAGUGGCACAAGAGAGGCGCAAGCGACUGUUUACCACAAACACAGGUGCCUGCUAAAGCGAAAGCUGAUGUAUAGGUGCUGACACCUGCCCGGUGCUGGAAGGUUAAGAGGAGGGGUUAGGAGUAAUCCGAAGCUCUGAAUUGAAGCCCCAGUAAACGGCGGCCGUAACUAUAACGGUCCUAAGGUAGCGAAAUUCCUUGUCGGGU
Molecule: ribosomal RNA, 1985 nt
Filed under: human gut metagenome
Description: bacterial LSU rRNA
Rfam family: Bacterial large subunit ribosomal RNA
Source: RNAcentral